Molecule: ribosomal RNA, 1310 nt
Filed under: Acanthephyra smithi
Lineage: Eukaryota; Metazoa; Arthropoda; Malacostraca; Decapoda; Oplophoridae
Description: 16S ribosomal RNA
Rfam family: Archaeal large subunit ribosomal RNA (bases 583-1310)
Source: RNAcentral
AAUGAAAUCUUGUCUUUGUUGUUUGAGGGUUGAUUUUAAGUUUAAAGAAGUACUAUUAUUAAAGAAUAAGUAAUUAUGAAAGAAAGUUUAAAUGGGACUAUAGUUAAAAAGUAUCGUAAGAGAAAGAUUUAGUUAGUGGUUUGAGAUAGAGUAGAAAUAAAUAUUUGUACCUUUUGUAUCAGGGGUUAUCAAUGUUGUCGGCAGAUAUUGCUGAAAUCUCGAAGUGAGAAGAGCUAGUUUUUUGUGUGUUAUUAUGUAGUAAAAUGAUAUGUAAUUGGAGGCUAGUAAUGAUAUUUUAGUCGAGUCUCAUAUAUCUAGUUUUCUUUGAAGUAAAUUUAAUUUAGUCAUUAGGUUUAAAGAGGUUUAAUGGGUAAAGACAGAGGGGAAGAGCUCUUUGUUUAAAUGUUUAUAGAAGUAGAAAGUUGUUAAUAUUGAAUUAGGCUUAAAAGCAGCUAAAUUUAUAGGGCGUUCUAGCUAAGGUAUUAAUUGGGAAAUUUUAUGUUUUUCUUAAAGGGGUUAGGGGAAAAUAGUUUAGGUUGUGGUUAAGCUAGUUAAAAUGGUUAUAUAAGUAUGUGGUGUUGUUAUAUUUUUAUUUGAAAUAUAAGAGUCCUUUUACAAGGAAAGAGGUAUGAAAAAGGAAUUCGGCAAUAAAUGCUUCUGCCUGUUUAUCAAAAACAUGUCUGUGUGAAAUUAAUAUAAAGUCUGGCCUGCCCACUGAAUAUUUUUAAAGGGCCGCGGUAAUUUGACCGUGCGAAGGUAGCAUAAUCAAUAGUCUCUUAAUUGGAGGCCGGAAUGAAGGGUCGUACAAGAAGCAGUCUGUCUUUUUUAUAAAAAUUGAAUUUAACUUUUAAGUGAAAAGGCUUAGAUUUUCUGGGGGGACGAUAAGACCCUAUAAAACUUUACAUGGGUUGGUUGGUUUUUAAAUUUAAGUGUUAGCGAAAAUUAUCUUUAUCUUGUUACGUUGGGGCGACGAAAAUAUAAGUUGUAACUGUUUGUUGGUUAAAAUAAAAAUAUUUAGAAAUGUUGAUCCUUUAUUAUGGAUUAUAAGAAUAAGUUACUUUAGGGAUAACAGCGUGAUUUUUUCUGAGAGUUCUUAUCGACGAAAGUAGUUGCGACCUCGAUGUUGAAUUAAAGUUUCGUCAAGGUGUAGGAGCUUUGAUUUGUGGGUCUGUUCGACCUUUAAAACUUUACAUGAUUUGAGUUCAAACCGGUGUGAGCCAGGUUGGUUUCUAUCUUUUAGGUUUAUAGGGGCUGCUCUAGUACGAAAGGACCGGGCCGCCGAAAGAUUUUUUUAGUUAAGAUGAAUAUAA